RNAcentral lists this ribosomal RNA (346 nucleotides) under uncultured bacterium. Its description in RNAcentral is "partial 16S ribosomal RNA". It matches the Rfam family "Bacterial small subunit ribosomal RNA", at positions 338 to 676 of the family's 1533-position model. The record is from RNAcentral.
CCUACGGGUGGCAGCAGUGGGGAAUAUUGCGCAAUGGGCGAAAGCCUGACGCAGCGACGCCGCGUGAGGGAUGAAGGUCUUCGGAUCGUAAACCUCUGUGAGCAGGGAAGAACGGUCACUGUGCUAAGCAGCAGUGAAUUGACGGUACCUGCAAAGGAAGCACCGGCUAACUCCGUGCCAGCAGCCGCGGUAAUACGGAGGGUGCGAGCGUUAAUCGGCAUGACUGGGCGGAAAGCGCUCGUAGGCGGUAGGUCAAGUCAAGGGUGAAAUCCCCGCGCUCAACGUGGGAACUGCCUUUGAAACUGGCAAACUGGAGUGUGUGAGAGGUUAGUGGAAUUCCAGGUGU